RNAcentral lists this ribosomal RNA (253 nucleotides) under uncultured bacterium. RNAcentral's name for it is "partial 16S ribosomal RNA". It matches the Rfam family "Bacterial small subunit ribosomal RNA", at positions 524 to 776 of the family's 1533-position model. The record is from RNAcentral.
UACGUAGGGGGCAAGCGUUGUCCGGAAUCAUUGGGCGUAAAGCGCGCGUAGGCGGCCCGGUAAGUCCGCUGUGAAAGUCAAAGGCUCAACCUUUGAAUGCCGGUGGAUACUGUCGGGCUAGAGUCCGGAAGAGGCGAGUGGAAUUCCUGGUGUAGCGGUGAAAUGCGUAGAUAUCAGGAGGAACACCGGUGGCGAAGGCGGGUCUCUGGGCCGAUACUGACGCUGAGGAGCGAAAGCGUGGGGAGCAAACAGG